This 58-nucleotide microRNA precursor is filed under the name Anolis carolinensis (green anole). RNAcentral describes it as "Aca-Mir-458_pre stem-loop". The record is from RNAcentral. Lineage: Eukaryota; Metazoa; Chordata; Lepidosauria; Squamata; Anolidae.
AGCGCCAUUUUUGGAGCUAUAAACACUCUCACUGUCAUAGCUCUUUGAAUGGUACUGC